RNAcentral lists this RNase P RNA (279 nucleotides) under Nitrososphaera sp. RNAcentral describes it as "RNase P RNA component". It matches the Rfam family "Archaeal RNase P". Rfam says of the family: Ribonuclease P (RNase P) is a ubiquitous endoribonuclease, found in archaea, bacteria and eukarya as well as chloroplasts and mitochondria. Lineage: Archaea; Thermoproteati; Nitrososphaerota; Nitrososphaeria; Nitrososphaerales; Nitrososphaeraceae. The record is from RNAcentral.
GCGAGCCAGUGCGCGGGUUACUCGAAAGAGAGGAAACUCCUCCCUCACUGCAGGCACCUGAACCAGCGAUGGUUAGCCGGAGACGGCUGGCUACGGAAUAGAAAAGAUAUCCAACCUAGUGCACGAUGAUGGCAAAUAGCCUGAGGUUCCUAGCAAUGGAAUGAAACUGCCGACCCGGGUGGAAUAAGGCCAAAUCGAGCAAAACGGUCCUGCACCAGCUCAGGUUGGCUGCUCAGCGGAAUCCCGCCUAAAACAGAAGGAGGGUUACGGCUGGCACGC